UGGAUCUGUGAUGAGUGUGCGUGGGGCAUCUGAAUCAAGCAUUCUGAUUAAACCCCGUCUUUGACUCUGAGGUCCAG
Ochotona curzoniae (black-lipped pika) is the source of this 77-nucleotide small nucleolar RNA. RefSeq annotates it as small nucleolar RNA SNORD113/SNORD114 family. The transcript has a single exon. The record is from RefSeq and is a predicted model, not a curated record. Lineage: Eukaryota; Metazoa; Chordata; Mammalia; Lagomorpha; Ochotonidae.